Molecule: ribosomal RNA, 253 nt
Filed under: uncultured bacterium
Lineage: Bacteria
Description: partial 16S ribosomal RNA
Rfam family: Bacterial small subunit ribosomal RNA
Source: RNAcentral
UACGUAGGGGGCGAGCGUUGUCCGGAAUCAUUGGGCGUAAAGCGCGUGUAGGCGGCCCGGUAAGUCCGCUGUGAAAGUCCAGGGCUCAACCCUGGGAUGCCGGUGGAUACUGUCGGGCUCGAGUCCGGAAGAGGCGAGUGGAAUUCCUGGUGUAGCGGUGAAAUGCGUAGAUAUCUGGAGGAACACCGGUGGCGAAGGCGGCAUCCUGGACCGAGAUUGACGCUGAGGCGCGAAAGCCAGGGGAGCAAACGGG